Molecule: ribosomal RNA, 301 nt
Filed under: uncultured bacterium
Lineage: Bacteria
Description: partial 16S ribosomal RNA
Rfam family: Bacterial small subunit ribosomal RNA
Source: RNAcentral
CAGCCGCCACGGGAAUACAGAGGGUGCAAGCGUUAAUCGGAAUUACUGGGCGUAAAGCGCGCGUAGGUGGUUUGUUAAGUUGGAUGUGAAAUCCCCGGGCUCAACCUGGGAACUGCAUCCAAAACUGGCAAGCUAGAGUAUGGUAGAGGGUGGUGGAAUUUCCUGUGUAGCGGUGAAAUGCGUAGAUAUAGGAAGGAACACCAGUGGCGAAGGCGACCACCUGGACUGAUACUGACACUGAGGUGCGAAAGCGUGGGGAGCAAACAGGAUUAGAUACCCCUUAGUCCCUGUCUCUUAUACC